AUUGAACGCUGGCGGAAUGCUUUACACAUGCAAGUCGAGCGGGGUGAUGGUGCUUGCACUAUCACUUAGCGGCGGACGGGUGAGUAAUGCUUAGGAAUCUGCCUAUUAGUGGGGGACAACAUCUCGAAAGGGAUGCUAAUACCGCAUACGUCCUACGGGAGCACGCAGGGGAUCACUUGUGACCUUGCGCUAAUAGAUGAGCCUAAGUCGGAUUAGCUAGUUGGUGGGGUAAAGGCCUACCAAGGCGACGAUCUGUAGCGGGUCUGAGAGGAUGAUCCGCCCCACUGGGACUGAGACACGGCCCAGACUCCUACGGGAGGCAGCAGUGGGGAAUAUUGGGCAAUGGGGGGAACCCUGAUCCAGCCAUGCCGCGUGUGUGAAGAAGGCCUUAUGGUUGUAAAGCACUUUAAGCGAGGAGGAGGCUCUUUUGGUUAAUACCCAAGAUGAGUGGACGUUACUCGCAGAAUAAGCACCGGCUAACUCUGUGCCAGCAGCCGCCGUAA
This 503-nucleotide ribosomal RNA is filed under the name uncultured bacterium. RNAcentral's name for it is "partial 16S ribosomal RNA". It matches the Rfam family "Bacterial small subunit ribosomal RNA", at positions 30 to 523 of the family's 1533-position model. The record is from RNAcentral.